CCUACGGGGGGCAGCAGUGGGGGAUAUUGCACAAUGGGGGGAACCCUGAUGCAGCGACGCCGCGUGGGUGAAGGAGUGCUUCGGCAUGUAAAGCCCUAUCGGCAGGGAAGAAGCAAGACGGUACCUGACUACGAAGCCCCGGCUAACUACGUGCCAGCAGCCGCGGUAAUACGUAGGGGGCGAGCGUUAUCCGGAUUCACUGGGUGUAAAGGGAGCGUAGACGGCCAUGCAAGCCAGGGGUGAAAGCCCGGGGCCCAACCCCGGGACUGCCCUUGGAACUGUGCGGCUAGAGUGCGGGCGGGGCAGGCGGAAUUCCUGGUGUAGCGGUGAAAUGCGUAGAUAGCAGGAGGAACACCGGCGGCGAAGGCGGCCUGCUGGACUGCGACUGACGUUGAGGCUCGAAAGCGUGGGGAGCGAACAGGAUUAGAUACCCCUGUAGUC
Molecule: ribosomal RNA, 441 nt
Filed under: uncultured bacterium
Lineage: Bacteria
Description: partial 16S ribosomal RNA
Rfam family: Bacterial small subunit ribosomal RNA
Source: RNAcentral